This 2923-nucleotide ribosomal RNA is filed under the name Klebsiella pneumoniae subsp. pneumoniae. RNAcentral's name for it is "23S ribosomal RNA". It matches the Rfam family "Bacterial large subunit ribosomal RNA". Lineage: Bacteria; Pseudomonadati; Pseudomonadota; Gammaproteobacteria; Enterobacterales; Enterobacteriaceae. The record is from RNAcentral.
GGGUUGUGAGGUUAAGCGACUAAGCGUACACGGUGGAUGCCCUGGCAGUCAGAGGCGAUGAAGGACGUGCUAAUCUGCGAAAAGCGUCGGUAAGGUGAUAUGAACCGUUAUAGCCGGCGAUGUCCGAAUGGGGAAACCCAGUGUGAUUCGUCACACUAUCGUUAACUGAAUACAUAGGUUAACGAGGCGAACCGGGGGAACUGAAACAUCUAAGUACCCCGAGGAAAAGAAAUCAACCGAGAUUCCCCCAGUAGCGGCGAGCGAACGGGGAGCAGCCCAGAGUCUGAAUCAGCUUGUGUGUUAGUGGAACGGUCUGGAAAGUCCGACGGUACAGGGUGAUAGUCCCGUACACCAAAAUGCACAGGCUGUGAACUCGAAGAGUAGGGCGGGACACGUGGUAUCCUGUCUGAAUAUGGGGGGACCAUCCUCCAAGGCUAAAUACUCCUGACUGACCGAUAGUGAACCAGUACCGUGAGGGAAAGGCGAAAAGAACCCCGGCGAGGGGAGUGAAAAAGAACCUGAAACCGUGUACGUACAAGCAGUGGGAGCACCUUCGGGUGUGACUGCGUACCUUUUGUAUAAUGGGUCAGCGACUUAUAUUCUGUAGCAAGGUUAACCGUAUAGGGGAGCCGCAGGGAAACCGAGUCUUAACUGGGCGUUAAGUUGCAGGGUAUAGACCCGAAACCCGGUGAUCUAGCCAUGGGCAGGUUGAAGGUUGGGUAACACUAACUGGAGGACCGAACCGACUAAUGUUGAAAAAUUAGCGGAUGACUUGUGGCUGGGGGUGAAAGGCCAAUCAAACCGGGAGAUAGCUGGUUCUCCCCGAAAGCUAUUUAGGUAGCGCCUCGUGAACUCAUCUUCGGGGGUAGAGCACUGUUUCGGCUAGGGGGUCAUCCCGACUUACCAACCCGAUGCAAACUACGAAUACCGAAGAAUGUUAUCACGGGAGACACACGGCGGGUGCUAACGUCCGUCGUGAAGAGGGAAACAACCCAGACCGCCAGCUAAGGUCCCAAAGUCAUGGUUAAGUGGGAAACGAUGUGGGAAGGCACAGACAGCCAGGAUGUUGGCUUAGAAGCAGCCAUCAUUUAAAGAAAGCGUAAUAGCUCACUGGUCGAGUCGGCCUGCGCGGAAGAUGUAACGGGGCUAAACCAUGCACCGAAGCUGCGGCAGCGACACUAUGUGUUGUUGGGUAGGGGAGCGUUCUGUAAGCCUGCGAAGGUGUGCUGUGAGGCAUGCUGGAGGUAUCAGAAGUGCGAAUGCUGACAUAAGUAACGAUAAAGCGGGUGAAAAGCCCGCUCGCCGGAAGACCAAGGGUUCCUGUCCAACGUUAAUCGGGGCAGGGUGAGUCGACCCCUAAGGCGAGGCCGAAAGGCGUAGUCGAUGGGAAACAGGUUAAUAUUCCUGUACUUGGUGUUACUGCGAAGGGGGGACGGAGAAGGCUAUGUUAGCCGGGCGACGGUUGUCCCGGUUUAAGCAUGUAGGCUGGUUGUCCAGGCAAAUCCGGAUAAUCAAGGCUGAGGUGUGAUGACGAGGCACUACGGUGCUGAAGUAACAAAUGCCCUGCUUCCAGGAAAAGCCUCUAAGCAUCAGGUAACAUUAAAUCGUACCCCAAACCGACACAGGUGGUCAGGUAGAGAAUACCAAGGCGCUUGAGAGAACUCGGGUGAAGGAACUAGGCAAAAUGGUGCCGUAACUUCGGGAGAAGGCACGCUGGUGUGUAGGUGAAGUCCCUGCGGAUGGAGCUGAGACCAGUCGAAGAUACCAGCUGGCUGCAACUGUUUAUUAAAAACACAGCACUGUGCAAACACGAAAGUGGACGUAUACGGUGUGACGCCUGCCCGGUGCCGGAAGGUUAAUUGAUGGGGUUAUCCGUAAGGAGAAGCUCUUGAUCGAAGCCCCGGUAAACGGCGGCCGUAACUAUAACGGUCCUAAGGUAGCGAAAUUCCUUGUCGGGUAAGUUCCGACCUGCACGAAUGGCGUAAUGAUGGCCAGGCUGUCUCCACCCGAGACUCAGUGAAAUUGAACUCGCUGUGAAGAUGCAGUGUACCCGCGGCAAGACGGAAAGACCCCGUGAACCUUUACUAUAGCUUGACACUGAACAUUGAGCCUUGAUGUGUAGGAUAGGUGGGAGGCUUUGAAGCGUGGACGCCAGUCUGCGUGGAGCCAACCUUGAAAUACCACCCUUUAAUGUUUGAUGUUCUAACGUUGGCCCCUGACCGGGGUUGCGGACAGUGUCUGGUGGGUAGUUUGACUGGGGCGGUCUCCUCCCAAAGCGUAACGGAGGAGCACGAAGGUUAGCUAAUCCUGGUCGGACAUCAGGAGGUUAGUGCAAUGGCAUAAGCUAGCUUGACUGCGAGCGUGACGGCGCGAGCAGGUGCGAAAGCAGGUCAUAGUGAUCCGGUGGUUCUGAAUGGAAGGGCCAUCGCUCAACGGAUAAAAGGUACUCCGGGGAUAACAGGCUGAUACCGCCCAAGAGUUCAUAUCGACGGCGGUGUUUGGCACCUCGAUGUCGGCUCAUCACAUCCUGGGGCUGAAGUAGGUCCCAAGGGUAUGGCUGUUCGCCAUUUAAAGUGGUACGCGAGCUGGGUUUAGAACGUCGUGAGACAGUUCGGUCCCUAUCUGCCGUGGGCGCUGGAGAAUUGAGGGGGGCUGCUCCUAGUACGAGAGGACCGGAGUGGACGCAUCACUGGUGUUCGGGUUGUCAUGCCAAUGGCACUGCCCGGUAGCUAAAUGCGGAAGAGAUAAGUGCUGAAAGCAUCUAAGCACGAAACUUGCCCCGAGAUGAGUUCUCCCUGAGACUUUAAGUCUCCUGAAGGAACGUUGAAGACGACGACGUUGAUAGGCCGGGUGUGUAAGCGCAGCGAUGCGUUGAGCUAACCGGUACUAAUGAACCGUGAGGCUUAACCUUACAACGCCGAAG